RNAcentral lists this ribosomal RNA (600 nucleotides) under Coelopynia pruinosa. RNAcentral describes it as "eukaryotic LSU rRNA". It matches the Rfam family "Eukaryotic large subunit ribosomal RNA", at positions 432 to 900 of the family's 3401-position model. Lineage: Eukaryota; Metazoa; Arthropoda; Insecta; Diptera; Chironomidae. The record is from RNAcentral.
UUCAAUACUAUUGCAGCAAUGUAAUGGUGUGCACUUCUCUCUUAGUAAGACGUUGUGAUCCAUUAGGAAUUGAUUAUCGAAUUUGAUAAUUAUUGGGCUAUCAAUAGUCUGGUAUUGAAGUUCAUAAUGACAAAUAAUAUGGUCGUUACAUGGCUAUAUAUAUUGUCUUGUGAGCAUAUCAUGUACUGGUAUAGCUGCCUUAUGGAUUUUAUAGGUCAUAAUAAUUAAUAUAUUUAUAUAUUACCCAUUUAUUUGGGAUCAUUUAUUAUGUACCCGAUCAACAACGGUUUCAUUUGGGAUACCUUUGGGACCCGUCUUGAAACACGGACCAAGGAGUCUAUCUAGUAUGCAAGUAAAUGGGAUAUUAAAACCUAUUUGCGUAAAUAACUUGACUGUUAUUAUGGGAUUACGAGUAAUUUUUAUAUUAUUCCUCCAUCCCGGGGUAUUUUCAUAAUAUAUAUGGAGGGUUUACUUUCUAUAUAUAGAAAAUAUACCAUGAGCAUACUGGAUAUGACCCGAAAGAUGGUGAACUAUGCCUGAUCAGGUUGAAGUCAGGGGAAACCCUGAUGGAGGACCGAAGCAAUUCUGACGUGCAAAUCG